RNAcentral lists this long non-coding RNA (891 nucleotides) under Homo sapiens (human). RNAcentral's name for it is "HSALNT0064300". The record is from RNAcentral. Lineage: Eukaryota; Metazoa; Chordata; Mammalia; Primates; Hominidae.
GUAAUCCUGAGACCAGUCCAGGGGGAAUAAGGCAAGUAUGGAGGAUAUCAUACUUCAGACUUUCAACCAGAAGUACUUACUCUUGAACCCAAGAGGCUCACUCCAAUUGAGAGUCUGUCUACAUUUUGCCAGACCCUGCGCUGGGUUUUGCUGGGUAAACAAAGGCACACCCUUGCUUCCAAGAGUCUAUCAGUUUCACAAUGACAGGAACAUGUGGUACUCCCUAGGUUCUAAUGCUCUUUUCCCCAUUCCACACAGGUCUUCAGAAUACCAGUUAUGCUGGGAAGCACAGCAGACUGUUCUCAUCAAAGAAGAACUUAUCAUAAAUUAUUUUACCGGUAGCUGAAAAGCAAGCCGAGGGAGACUCUGAGAGAUGUGGGUGCCCUGAAUGUAUCAGAUCUCUGUCUGCCUUCUGCAGCUGUAGCAGCAUGCUAGAUGAUGGAAUAGCAGUGCCCUGGGCAGCAGAAGAAAGUCCUGAGACAGAACACCCAGGACAGCAUACUUACCAUGGCUUCCCUGUCUCACAAGAUUCAUCCACAUCGAACUGCCCAAGAACAAAUGUACCACGGGCUAAUCUGGAGGGAUCAAGAAACGGAGGCAAAGAGAGAUUAAAGAGCUUGCCCAAUUUUAGAAAGCUAGUGAGUGGGACAGCUAAGAAUUCAUCUCACACCCGACCCUGGAACUGAUGCUCUUAUCACUUCACUCUUCUGCCUUCCCAUGAUGAGGCAGGUACAUCCGGGGCAGUAUUGCUGUCUAGGCUGUUGUUACAUUAUGGUGAAAGACUAAUUCCAACAUGAAGAAUAAAUCAAAAAUUUAUUAAUUAUGACUAUGCUUUUAUGUCUAUUGUCAAGACCACUCAUAUUUCUUAAGGAGAAUAUAACAUAAUGAAAG